Molecule: ribosomal RNA, 316 nt
Filed under: uncultured Parabacteroides sp.
Lineage: Bacteria; Pseudomonadati; Bacteroidota; Bacteroidia; Bacteroidales; Tannerellaceae
Description: bacterial SSU rRNA
Rfam family: Bacterial small subunit ribosomal RNA
Source: RNAcentral
UGAGGAAUAUUGGGUCAAUGGCCGAGAGGCUGAACCAGCCAAGUCGCGUGAAGGAAGAAGGAUCUAUGGUUUGUAAACUUCUUUUAUAGGGGAAUAAAGUGGAGGACGUGUCCUUUUUGUAUGUACCCUAUGAAUAAGCAUCGGCUAACUCCGUGCCAGCAGCCGCGGUAAUACGGAGGAUGCGAGCGUUAUCCGGAUUUAUUGGGUUUAAAGGGUGCGUAGGUGGUGAUUUAAGUCAGCGGUGAAAGUUUGUGGCUCAACCAUAAAAUUGCCGUUGAAACUGGGUUACUUGAGUGUGUUUGAGGUAGGCGGAAUG